CCUACGGGGGGCAGCAGUGGGGAAUAUUGGACAAUGGGCGAAAGCCUGAUCCAGCCAUGCCGCGUGUGUGAAGAAGGCCUUCGGGUUGUAAAGCACUUUCAGUGGGGAAGAAAGCCUUGGGGCUAAUACCCUCGAGGAAGGACAUCACCCACAGAAGAAGCACCGGCUAACUCCGUGCCAGCAGCCGCGGUAAUACGGAGGGUGCGAGCGUUAAUCGGAAUUACUGGGCGUAAAGCGCGCGUAGGCGGUCUGAUAAGCCGGUUGUGAAAGCCCCGGGCUCAACCUGGGAACGGCAUCCGGAACUGUCAGGUUAGAGUGCAGGAGAGGAAGGUAGAAUUCCCGGUGUAGCGGUGAAAUGCGUAGAGAUCGGGAGGAAUACCAGUGGCGAAGGCGGCCUUCUGGACUGACACUGACGCUGAGGUGCGAAAGCGUGGGUAGCAAACAGGAUUAGAUACCCGGGUAGUC
RNAcentral lists this ribosomal RNA (465 nucleotides) under Vreelandella stevensii. Its description in RNAcentral is "partial 16S ribosomal RNA". It matches the Rfam family "Bacterial small subunit ribosomal RNA", at positions 338 to 795 of the family's 1533-position model. Lineage: Bacteria; Pseudomonadati; Pseudomonadota; Gammaproteobacteria; Oceanospirillales; Halomonadaceae. The record is from RNAcentral.